AAGGAGCUUCCUUCAGUCCACUCAUGGAUAGGGUAAAGGGUUUGAAUUAGCUGCUGACUCAUUCAUUCAAACACAAUAGAACACAGGUUUCUUCAAUACAGGCUAUUGUGAAUGUGUGAAUGAUGCAGGAGGUAAAUUUCAUCCUUUUCUUGUCUUUGCUUGGACUGAAGGGAGCUCCCUUU
Molecule: microRNA precursor, 182 nt
Filed under: Acacia mangium
Lineage: Eukaryota; Viridiplantae; Streptophyta; Magnoliopsida; Fabales; Fabaceae
Description: miR319 stem-loop (amg-MIR319)
Gene: amg-MIR319
Rfam family: MIR159 microRNA precursor family
Source: miRBase by way of RNAcentral